AUGUUGUUUAUCCAAACCUGUGAAGAAUGGCGGAAAAAUCACUCGUGAAUCAGAUCUUCCUUCCAGGCGAUUCGGUGACUUUAUCAAAGACAGAUGAAAUUUCGAAUGCCAAAAUCGUACUCGGUCCCGGUCUGAGGAAAUAUGGAAAACAGAUUUUAGUUACUAAACCAGGCAUUUUACGUACGAAAUCAACGCCACCAACUUACUGGAUAGACUGUCAUCACAGACAAAGGAGAUUGGUGUUCUUGAUGUGGUUACCAAUGUUGUUGGUGAAUUGUUCAAAGUCUAUAUUGGAUCAAAUGAGGAAGCUUCCUUUUCAAGCAUUGCAUUUCCAGGUGCCCCUAAAAGAACAAGCCCAACAUACAGAUCAGGGAUCUGGCGUUUGCCAAGGUACUAAUAGCGAGCACUGACAUGGAACCAGAACUGGUAAAGGUGAAUUCACUGGGAGAAAAUGUUGGAUUGGGUAUCUGAUCAACAAACGGCUUUGUUUUCACUGGACAUUUGCAUCAUAUUCACAAGUGAUCAAACGUUGCUGUUUUCUUGUGCAAUAAACGCUGCCGAAAUCACCUGUCGUACAAACUGACGUUUCCCAUGGACCGAUUGGCAACAACCUGGACAUUGGCUUUGAAGACACGACUACGCUCUAACUGUGUAAUUGUACUCAUAAUUGGCGGAAGGCUGGUACCAUAGUACAAUGAAAUUGCGUACAACGUGUACGAGAAAAUGAACGAGUGCAAAGGAUGGGUUACUACAAUUGCAUCCUUUAUUGUGCCCUCGAAAGCUUGUGCCCAAGGCUUUAACGUUUAGUUGUAACUCAACGUUUCGUGGACAGACGAAUGCAGUGAUUACUAGUUCAGGUUCAAUUCAUU
This is a long non-coding RNA of Daphnia carinata, 869 nucleotides long. RefSeq lists it as uncharacterized. The record is from RefSeq and is a predicted model, not a curated record. The transcript is spliced from 4 exons. NCBI's taxonomy places the organism in Eukaryota, Metazoa, Arthropoda, Branchiopoda, Diplostraca, Daphniidae.